Zootermopsis nevadensis is the source of this 656-nucleotide long non-coding RNA. RefSeq lists it as uncharacterized. Lineage: Eukaryota; Metazoa; Arthropoda; Insecta; Blattodea; Termopsidae. The record is from RefSeq and is a predicted model, not a curated record.
UAUUUAAAAAAUGAAGAAAAGUGAAGACGUUACCAACACCAACAAGAAAUGCAUGCAACUUCUAUGAGAGAGCAUGGCGUUACAUCACAGAAGACAUCUUCAUACUCGCAAAGCAUAUGUUGUUGAACUGAAUUUUAGUAAAGUUUCGAAGUAUUACAUUUUUUUUUGUAGUACCAAUACUUGACGAGGUUAUAUUCUACACAUUACACGUGCCCUGCUGCAAUGAUUUAUCCAAAAUUGAAGGAUUCAAUUUAACAAAGCCGCUUGGCCCUGUGUUAUUCGACAGGUCUUUGGAAGCCUGUAAAGGGGCAUGGUACUACGACGUAAAAGUGAUUUAAGGGACUUCGCCACCCAUGUCUCUCAAGAGCUGUAGUUAUAUAUAAGUUAACCGGAAGGUCACACAUUAAAUUACAAGGCCGGAAUCCGAGUGUGGAACAAACAUCCGGACGGGGAGUUCUUGCAAAGAUAGGUGAAAGGGUUUUGAAAGAUAAAGAAGUCUAAUAACAGUUUAGUAAUAAUGAUUUCUGUGAGAGACCUUGAUAAAAUACUUUCAAUGUGGUUUUUUGUUAUCAGAAAUAAAUACAGCUCGAAGUGAGUAGUAAGAAUCGGUUCACAAAAGCAAGCCAUUUGACCGAAUCUCCAGAACGUCAACAGCC